Bombus pyrosoma is the source of this 1362-nucleotide long non-coding RNA. RefSeq lists it as uncharacterized. The record is from RefSeq and is a predicted model, not a curated record. Lineage: Eukaryota; Metazoa; Arthropoda; Insecta; Hymenoptera; Apidae. The transcript is spliced from 3 exons.
CAAAAAAAAUGAACGAAAUAAGCAGUCGUGUUGUAGACGAGUUCGCGAGCGUGUGUCAGUAGAAAUCCGCGUAUUCGAUAUCUUUUUAAUUAAUUACAUAUUCUCUCGUCUCUCUCGUAUAUAUUACAUGGGCAAGAGAAAGAAGCACUGCCAGUGAAAGAGAGACAGCCAUCCAAAGAGGCUUCGGUAAUUCAACUGGAUGAACAACGAGCUUAAAAGCUGACUCAGUCAUCCAACCAAGCAGACAGACGUGCGUGUACAUGUAUAUACAGAUACAUGGAAAGAGACACAGAUAUACCGUACGAAUACAAAGGAAAUUCGUAUACAGGUGUGAACCACAGGAACACACAGAGUCAAGCAGGACACGUUUGCACGAGCGAUUGUGAAUUUCCACGAGACGGUUUGUCCUUUGAGCCUUGCUGCGUUGGCCGGCAAAGGGAAGAUGAAGGAGCUCGUAAUUUUCCGAGCUCCGCGUUUCAGCUCGCGCGGCUAUUUUCUGCGGUUCACGCGUAUUAUGCAACCGACCCGGCUUGAACUGGCACGAGCUUACACGCCUCGCGUGCUUCCACUGUAUUCUCUGUUUCGAUUCUGUGUGUGAGUUUGCGCGAGUAUGCGUGAGAGAGAGUGAGAGAUCGCGCAUUCAAGAACCACUGAUGAACGCGUGCAUAUUCAACGCGCGACUCAAAGGGUGCUUUCGCAUUCCGUUACAUGUGCCCGGGAUGUAUCAAGAAUUUGGUGGAACUGAAACACCGAGGAACGGAGCAACGGAGAACUAUACGCGGAAAUUGCUGCGGGCACGUAACAAAAUUUGUCAGGAGAUGAGAUUUUCAGCGAAGGCAGUUAUGUACGCCGUAAGAAUGAAUGGCCGACCGGUGGAAAACGAGUUCUCGCGGUGCUAACAAUAAGAGCCCGUCCGUUUUCCUGAUGAAAGGGAUUUCCAACAGUCCAUACAGACGGAUCCUCAUAAACGGAAUGCUAUUACGGAGCAAUAAUCGAAUACGUUAUCGGUAAAGCAGAAAAAAAUACUUGGCCAAUAGAUAUAUUCAAAAUUGUUGAGGUUGAGGUUGACUGAUUGAAGAUCGAGUGGAAGUAUAAUGUAUAAGUAUAAUUUUAUACUGAUUCAGAUCCUUACUCUCUUAGAGCUACAAUACAAUGGAAUCGAUAGGGAGCACAUUCAUAUAUUUAUAGCAAAAGGACAUUACCAAAAAAAUUAACCUUAUAGCUUUAGCUAGAGGUUACAAGGAGCAUAAAUAGACAUCUGUUUAUUAGUUCCUUUGUUCCUAGACCUUGCAACCCAAAACAUAGUAUAUAUUGAAAGGUACAAUAACACGCACCUCUCCUUAUUUAGAAUAUUUCUGCGUA